Molecule: long non-coding RNA, 759 nt
Organism: Carassius gibelio (silver crucian carp)
Lineage: Eukaryota; Metazoa; Chordata; Actinopteri; Cypriniformes; Cyprinidae
Exons: 2
Source: RefSeq, a predicted model, not a curated record
UAUUUGUUUCUAUGCUCUAAACAAUGUGAUGACAUGGGGGGAAAAAAUAAAAUAAAUAAAUGUUUUUAUUUUCCGGGUCUAGGAGGAUAUAGCGUGUAAUGACAGACAUUUAGUGUGUAAGAGCAUGUUUAUGUAACCCUUCUAUUAUGUUUUGAGUCAAUUUGACCCCAGGCUGUUUUAGCUUUAUAAAACAUUAUCCUAUGGUCUUUUGAUUUCAAAUGCAGUUAAAUUGCAAUUUCAGGGGCACUUCUAAAAUAUUUUGGAGCAUCCUCUGACACUGGUCAGGAUGAGCCAACCACCUCCUCCGCUACACAUAUGUCUCCACAAAUAUCUGAUAUUGAGGAUGAAGACCUCUUUGCCUCUACUUCUACCCAGCAUGAGCUUUCAGAAAUGCCUGGAGCUGAACCCCCACUGAGCCCCACUGGCCUCACAUCUGACUCACAGGAUUCGGACUGAGCUGGUUCACAGAGGACCAAGUAAAGUGCCACCUGGCUUUGUUUUCCGUAGGAAUGAGAGUAAUGGGAGAAGUUGCCACCAUUAAUAUUUUAAGAAGACAUUAGUAAGUGGUGAAAAGAUGGCAAGAAGUUGGCUGAUUUAUUCAAUUAAGAACAACAGCCUCUUUUGCUUCUGCUGCAAAUUGUUUUCCAAGAGGAACAUCAAUUUAACAAGUGCAGGAAUGGCAAAUUGGAAACAUGCAUGCAAUGAUAUCACAUCAUAUGAAAACAGUUGUUAUAAUAAAAUAUUGCUGUUUGUGCAGAA